This 852-nucleotide ribosomal RNA is filed under the name Salmonella enterica subsp. enterica serovar Mbandaka. Its description in RNAcentral is "partial 23S ribosomal RNA". It matches the Rfam family "Bacterial large subunit ribosomal RNA", at positions 528 to 1378 of the family's 2925-position model. Lineage: Bacteria; Pseudomonadati; Pseudomonadota; Gammaproteobacteria; Enterobacterales; Enterobacteriaceae. The record is from RNAcentral.
GGCGAGGGGAGUGAAAAAGAACCUGAAACCGUGUACGUACAAGCAGUGGGAGCACAGGUUUACCUGUGUGACUGCGUACCUUUUGUAUAAUGGGUCAGCGACUUAUAUUCUGUAGCAAGGUUAACCGUAUAGGGGAGCCGUAGGGAAACCGAGUCUUAACCGGGCGUUAAGUUGCAGGGUAUAGACCCGAAACCCGGUGAUCUAGCCAUGGGCAGGUUGAAGGUUGGGUAACACUAACUGGAGGACCGAACCGACUAAUGUUGAAAAAUUAGCGGAUGACCUGUGGCUGGGGGUGAAAGGCCAAUCAAACCGGGAGAUAGCUGGUUCUCCCCGAAAGCUAUUUAGGUAGCGCCUCGUGAACUCAUCUCCGGGGGUAGAGCACUGUUUCGGCUAGGGGGCCAUCCCGGCUUACCAACCCGAUGCAAACUGCGAAUACCGGAGAAUGUUAUCACGGGAGACACACGGCGGGUGCUAACGUCCGUCGUGAAGAGGGAAACAACCCAGACCGCCAGCUAAGGUCCCAAAGUCAUGGUUAAGUGGGAAACGAUGUGGGAAGGCCCAGACAGCCAGGAUGUUGGCUUAGAAGCAGCCAUCAUUUAAAGAAAGCGUAAUAGCUCACUGGUCGAGUCGGCCUGCGCGGAAGAUGUAACGGGGCUAAACCAUGCACCGAAGCUGCGGCAGCGACACUGUGUGUUGUUGGGUAGGGGAGCGUUCUGUAAGCCUGUGAAGGUGGCCUGUGAGGGUUGCUGGAGGUAUCAGAAGUGCGAAUGCUGACAUAAGUAACGAUAAAGCGGGUGAAAAGCCCGCUCGCCGGAAGACCAAGGGUUCCUGUCCAACGUUAAUCGGGGCAGG